CCGCAACGAGCGCAACCCUCGUUCUAUGUUGCCAGCGGUUCGGCCGGGGACUCAUAGGAGACUGCCGGGGUCAACUCGGAGGAAGGUGGGGAUGACGUCAAAUCAUCAUGCCCCUUAUGUCUUGGGCUUCACGCAUGCUACAAUGGCCGGUACAGAGGGUUGCGAUACUGUGAGGUGGAGCUAAUCCCUUAAAGCCGGUCUCAGUUCGGAUUGGGGUCUGCAACUCGACCCCAUGAAGUCGGAGUCGCUAGUAAUCGCAGAUCAGCAACGCUGCGGUGAAUACGUUCCCGGGCCUUGUACACACCGCCCGUCAAGUCACGAAAGUUGGUAACACCCGAAGCCGGUGGCCUAACCCUUGUGGGGGGAGCCGUCGAAGGUGGGAUUGGCGAUUGGGACUAAGUCGUAACAAGGUAACC
This 416-nucleotide ribosomal RNA is filed under the name Rothia aeria. Its description in RNAcentral is "bacterial SSU rRNA". It matches the Rfam family "Bacterial small subunit ribosomal RNA", at positions 1087 to 1501 of the family's 1533-position model. The record is from RNAcentral. Lineage: Bacteria; Bacillati; Actinomycetota; Actinomycetes; Micrococcales; Micrococcaceae.